RNAcentral lists this ribosomal RNA (250 nucleotides) under uncultured bacterium. RNAcentral describes it as "partial 16S ribosomal RNA". It matches the Rfam family "Bacterial small subunit ribosomal RNA", at positions 355 to 620 of the family's 1533-position model. The record is from RNAcentral.
UGGGGAAUAUUGCGCAAUGGGCGAAAGCCUGACGCAGCGACGCCGCGUGUGGGAUGACGGCCUUCGGGUUGUAAACCACUGUCGCGAGGGACGAAGAUCUGACGGUACCUCGAAAGGAAGCACCGGCUAACUCUGUGCCAGCAGCCGCGGUAAUACAGAGGGUGCAAGCGUUGUCCGGAAUUACUGGGCGUAAAGGGCGCGUAGGCGGUCCAAUAAGUAGGGGGUGAAAUCUCACGGCUCAACCGGGAGG